UACGUAGGGGGCGAGCGUUGUCCGGAAUUAUUGGGCGUAAAGAGCUCGUAGGCGGCUUGGCAAGUCGGAUGUGAAAACUCCAGGCUCAACCUGGAGCCGCCAUUCGAUACUGCUAUGGCUAGAGUCCGGUAGGGGAGUGUGGAAUUCCCGGUGUAGCGGUGAAAUGCGCAGAUAUCAGGAGGAACACCGGUGGCGAAGGCGGGUCUCUGGGCCGAUACUGACGCUGAGGAGCGAAAGCAUGGGUAGCGAACAGG
Molecule: ribosomal RNA, 254 nt
Filed under: uncultured bacterium
Lineage: Bacteria
Description: partial 16S ribosomal RNA
Rfam family: Bacterial small subunit ribosomal RNA
Source: RNAcentral